Molecule: ribosomal RNA, 479 nt
Filed under: uncultured bacterium
Lineage: Bacteria
Description: partial 16S ribosomal RNA
Rfam family: Bacterial small subunit ribosomal RNA
Source: RNAcentral
GAUGAACGCUAGCGGGUGGCCUAACACAUGCAAGCCGAGCGGUAGAGUUUCUUCGGAAACUUGAGAGCGGCGCACGGGUGCGUAACACGUGUGCAACCUACCUUUAUCUGGGGGAUAGCCUUUCGAAAGGAAGAUUAAUACCCCAUAAUAUAAUGAUUGGCAUCAAUUAUUAUUGAAAACUCCGGUGGAUAGAGAUGGGCGCGCGCAAGAUUAGAUAGUUGGUGAGGUAACGGCUCACCAAGUCAAUGAUCUUUAGGGGUCCUGAGAGGGAGAUCCCCCACACUGGUACUGAGACACGGACCAGACUCCUACGGGAGGCAGCAGUGAGGAAUAUUGGACAAUGGGUGAGAGCCUGAUCCAGCCAUCCCGCGUGAAGGAUGACGGUCCUAUGGAUUGUAAACUUCUUUUGUACAGGGAUAAACCUACCCUCGGGAGGGUAGCUGAAGGUACUGUACGAAUAAGCACCGGCUAACUCCGUG